AAACUCUUGAAAUUAGUUUACCUCAUCCAUGCACUUUAAUUGAAGAACUGCACUUUUUUAACUUCGUCUUCGCCCUCUGAAAUUAAAGAAAAAAUUUAUCUGCAGCGUUGCUUGGUGUACAGAUUGCUGAAACCGUGGGGCUUACAGACAUCAGACGUGACAGCCGGUCAUUGGAAUUAGACCUGGAACAAAUUGUUUCUCACCAGUACUUCAGUCCAUCCUCAGUCUGUAAAAUACGUGUACCUGUAUAAAUAGAACUCUGCCUCUGAGUUUCGAUGCUGUACUUGCUGCCAGACCCUGAGCUGCUCCGAGACGCCCUUGACCCUCCCUCCACUUGGAAUUACAACCGCCGUAUUUCGUUUGGCAUAAUUUAUACACGUUUUGCUCAACUGGAAUUAUGACCAUGCCCAGGAACAUUUUUGGACUCAGUUGUAGCAUUUAAAGCUUGGUUCAAACAAAGACCUGGGUGAAAAUCAUGUGGCUCACCCACGCAGCCUCCUCAGGGCUCAGGUCACCUGGUAGAUUCAUGUGACAAUGGCGGCUGGAAUGAAAAGGAACGUGGAUUUUUGAAAAAAAUAAUUCCAAGCCCUGUAAUCCCUAAUGGAACAAAUGAGGUCUGUUUCUUUGGGCCUGAGGCUGUGCCAUAUAAAGUCUUCUUGGGACCCUGUAAACUUAUCAUAACUACCUUAUGGAUAGUGGGCUGUGACAAUCUUGAAUAGGGAACUUUCAUACGUCCCUCCUUUAACGAAGCAAUCCCAAAUCUACAAGGGAGUAGAUUCUGCUAUCUUGGCCUCACAGCCCUUUCUGUUGGUGACAAAGCCCUUGGAAGAAAACAGAACCCGCCCUCCUCAGUUCCUUCCAAAUGUGUUUCUUCUGCUUCUGCUGUGCCAGUUCUGGGGCAGAGACACUGAAGAAACAGCAGCGAUACCUGGGAAGAAUAAAUGUCUGACUUUCACCUCCCCUUUCCCAGUGGAAAAGCAGCAGCGUGGAGGUUCAGCAUCUGUUCCCCAGUCACACCGAGGAAUGUACCGCCUCACGGCACCAGCUCUGCAGAGCCCUUGCUCCCAAACUUCGGGUUUAAUUUAUAUGUAUUUCCAUGUUUCAUUCCCGUACGUCACAGCUGCACUGGCGUGGCAGCGAGUGACCAAAGGCUACAGGUUUUAUUACGGACACCGGUCAGGUGCCACCAUACAGAACAAAGCCAGUUCCCAUGAGCUGCCUAUGAUAUGCAUUGCUGAAGUGACAGUUUACCCAGGGUGUGCCAUUGCAGUGAUAUAAAUAUAUUUUUUUUUUCCUAGACUAAAUAUGAGCUGACUAUCUCUUUUGAUGUGUGUACAUAGGUGUGAGUGUGUGUGCGUGCGCGUAUGUGCGUGUGUGCGUGUACAGCCUCAUGCUUAGAACUGCCUGUGAAUGUCGUGGAAUGCGAUACCUGGAAAGUUCUGGUUUCCCACCAGUUUCAAGAUAAAGAACCAUAUGAUGUAUUGGGCCUAGAGACGGUUCCCUUGGGAAGACAACCUGGAAAUGUUAAAUGUCCUGUAUCUAUAUAUGUAUUUUGUAGCUGCCACACUAACCUUAAGAAGUAAUUCUACAGCUUUGGAUGGAGGCAAUUUCACCUUAUAAUGGUGGAGUAAUUUUAGAAUAUAAAUCCAUUCAGGUGACAGCCCGUAGAGGAAAUCACAGAUUCUGAUUGAACUCAUCUGACUCACCAGUUCCUCAGUGGAGAGAGAAGGGGAAGGAAUCCGUCCAGAAGCCCCACUUGGAGUAUAAGUAGCCUUCGUUUCCCCGCAUAAAUGGACUUGUUGAAUGCGAACAAAUAUAUGCAAUUCAUAUACUUUUGGAGAUGAACGUAGAUAUGUGUGUCAGCUUUGAGAUGAUGUGUCCGGAUUAAUACUUUGUCUCCCGAUAUCACAGAAAAAA
This 1917-nucleotide long non-coding RNA is filed under the name Sciurus vulgaris (Eurasian red squirrel). RNAcentral's name for it is "lncRNA (ENSSVLG00005018632.1)". Lineage: Eukaryota; Metazoa; Chordata; Mammalia; Rodentia; Sciuridae. The record is from RNAcentral.